GUGGAAAGGGUUAUGUACUGGUCUUAGAUGGGCUCACGGCCUAUCAGCUGGUUGGUGGGGUAAUGGCCUACCAAGGCGACGACGGGUAGCCGGCCUGAGAGGGUGACCGGCCACACUGGGACUGAGCACACGGCCCAAAACUCCUACGGGAGGCAGCAGUGGGGAAUAUUGCACAAUGGGCGCAAGCCUGAUGCAAGAGACGCCGCGUGAGGGAUGACGGACUUCGGGUUGUAAACCUCUUUCAGCAGGGCAAGAAGCGGAAGUGACGGUACCUGCAGACAAAAACGCCGGCUAACUACGUGCCAGCAGCCGCGGUAAUACGUAAGGCGCAAGCGUUGUCCGGAAUUAUUGGGCGUAAAGAGCUCGUAGUCGGCUUGUCACGUCUGCUGUGCAAAGCCCGGGGCUUAACUCCGGGUGUGCAGUGGGUACGGGCAGGCUAGAGUGCAGUAGGGUUAACUGGAAUUCCUGGUGUAUCGGUGAAAUGCGCAGAUAUCAGGAGUAACACCGAUGGCGAAGGCAGUUUACUGGGCUGUUACUGACGCUGAGGAGCGAAAGCAUGGGGAGCGAACAGGAUUAGAUACCCUGGUAGUCCAUGCCGUAAACGUUGGGCACUAGGUGUGGGGGACAUUCCACGUUUUCCGCGCCGUAGCUAACGCAUUAAGUGCCCC
RNAcentral lists this ribosomal RNA (668 nucleotides) under uncultured Kocuria sp. RNAcentral's name for it is "bacterial SSU rRNA". It matches the Rfam family "Bacterial small subunit ribosomal RNA", at positions 198 to 870 of the family's 1533-position model. Lineage: Bacteria; Bacillati; Actinomycetota; Actinomycetes; Micrococcales; Micrococcaceae. The record is from RNAcentral.